This 223-nucleotide small nucleolar RNA is filed under the name Mola mola (ocean sunfish). The record is from RNAcentral. Lineage: Eukaryota; Metazoa; Chordata; Actinopteri; Tetraodontiformes; Molidae.
UCUUUGCAGCCUUGUGAAACUGCUCCUUGCACAGACCUUUGCACGUGAGCACAACAAGGUUGCAGAAAGCAGCUCAAAGAAUGAGAUGGCGUGACUCCCGGAGGCUCAGGAGCCUGACGUGCGAUGUUCUUUGGACAGACUCCUGCCUUCCACGGCGGUGACGGCCUCGUCGGUAGCCGUCACCUUUCUGCAGGCAGGGAGAGUAAAAAAAAAAACAACAAAA